AUGGACCUCUAUGCACUACCCGAGAUUAGGCAAUUUUGACUAAUAAUUCCGGUCGAGAAAAUAUUGUCCGAGUUUGGACGCCAUUUUCGACCACCAUGGUUGGAAAUUUGUUCACAUUUAAUUUGCCAUUUUUUUUUUAGAAAUAUGCGAUCACCUUCUCGACAAAAGUAGUCAGAAAUGUCCGCGUGAAAACCUGUAAAUUAGCUUCCGACCGAGAUGAUCGGUUAGGAAAGUCAACUUUUUUCUUUGACCAAAAAUUUUAAAAAAUUAACUGCGCUACUUGACCGACCGAUUCGGUUGGUCAAUUUUAAAAUACAAAUUUUAUUUUAUUUUGUGAACUCCAAUUCUGAUCUAUUUCAUUCUCCCUCUUUCCCCUCUCUCUCUCUCGCUUUCCUCUCUUUCCCUUCUCUCUCUCUCUCUCUUUCAAGCGACCAAUAGCUUUGUUUUUUUACCUUACCUUUAGUUUUUUGUGUCUUUUUUAGUUACAGGCGGCGAUGACACUCAAGAGGAACUUGGCAGAUUUUCAGCGGACUCCGCCAGCAACAACGACAAUGAGGUACUUUUAAAAACAAAUAUCGUGGUCGAGUGGAAAUCGAGGAUGCAUUAGAUGUAGCAUACCAGAAUGACAUUUCAAGUGUUGAAGAAAUGGUAGAAGAUGAAUUAGCAGAUGAAUUGCAGCAUAGCAAAAGUAUCUAUAAAGAAUUUGAACAUUCUGUCCUUGGAUCAAAUCAACAUAAGUAUGGAGAAGGAACAUCCAUUAGAAACAAGGAUGAAGAUCAAAUGAUGAACACGAAACAUACAAGGAAGAGUUACUUGAUGAAAAUGAAGCAAGCAAUGAUGAAGAAUUAUAUGAUCAAUAUGAAAAAAGUAAUAAGGAUUGAUUUGUUGGGGUUUUGUAACAUAUUGAACUUCUUAUAUUAUUCUUUUAAUUAUCUAAUAUGUCGAAGAAUUGUUUUAUGUUUU
Nicotiana tabacum (common tobacco) is the source of this 963-nucleotide long non-coding RNA. RefSeq lists it as uncharacterized. Lineage: Eukaryota; Viridiplantae; Streptophyta; Magnoliopsida; Solanales; Solanaceae. The record is from RefSeq and is a predicted model, not a curated record.